RNAcentral lists this ribosomal RNA (472 nucleotides) under uncultured bacterium. RNAcentral's name for it is "bacterial SSU rRNA". It matches the Rfam family "Bacterial small subunit ribosomal RNA", at positions 328 to 792 of the family's 1533-position model. The record is from RNAcentral.
AUCCCAGACUCCUACGGGAGGCAGCAGUGGGGAAUAUUGCACAACGGGCGCAAGCCUGAUGCAGCCAUGCCGCGUGUAUGAAGAAGGCCUUCGGGUUGUAAAGUACUUUCAGCGGGGAGGAAGGUGUUGUGGUUAAUAACCACAGCAAUUGACGUUACCCGCAGAAGAAGCACCGGCUAACUCCGUGCCAGCAGCCGCGGUAAUACGGAGGGUGCAAGCGUUAAUCGGAAUUACUGGGCGUAAAGCGCACGCAGGCGGUCUGUCAAGUCGGAUGUGAAAUCCCCGGGCUCAACCUGGGAACUGCAUUCGAAACUGGCAGGCUGGAGUCUUGUAGAGGGGGGUAGAAUUCCAGGUGUAGCGGUGAAAUGCGUAGAGAUCUGGAGGAAUACCGGUGGCGAAGGCGGCCCCCUGGACAAAGACUGACGCUCAGGUGCGAAAGCGUGGGGAGCAAACAGGAUUAGAUCCCCCCGUA